AUUGAACGCUGGCGGCAGGCCUAACACAUGCAAGUCGAGCGGUAGAGAGAAGCUUGCUUCUCUUGAGAGCGGCGGACGGGUGAGUAAUGCCUAGGAAUCUGCCUGGUAGUGGGGGAUAACGUUCGGAAACGGACGCUAAUACCGCAUACGUCCUACGGGAGAAAGCAGGGGACCUUCGGGCCUUGCGCUAUCAGAUGAGCCUAGGUCGGAUUAGCUAGUUGGUGGGGUAAUGGCUCACCAAGGCGACGAUCCGUAACUGGUCUGAGAGGAUGAUCAGUCACACUGGAACUGAGACACGGUCCAGACUCCUACGGGAGGCAGCAGUGGGGAAUAUUGGACAAUGGGCGAAAGCCUGAUCCAGCCAUGCCGCGUGUGUGAAGAAGGUCUUCGGAUUGUAAAGCACUUUAAGUUGGGAGGAAGGGCAGUAAAUUAAUACUUUGCUGUUUUGACGUUACCGACAGAAUAAGCACCGGCUAACUCUGUGCCAGCCGCCGCCGUAA
RNAcentral lists this ribosomal RNA (500 nucleotides) under uncultured bacterium. RNAcentral describes it as "partial 16S ribosomal RNA". It matches the Rfam family "Bacterial small subunit ribosomal RNA", at positions 30 to 523 of the family's 1533-position model. The record is from RNAcentral.